GAGGGUAGAGCUCAGUGGCAGAGCGCAUGCUUAGCAUGCACGAGGUCCUGGGUUCAAGCCCCAGUGCCUCCA
This 72-nucleotide transfer RNA is filed under the name Camelus dromedarius (Arabian camel). It matches the Rfam family "tRNA". From Rfam's summary of the family: Transfer RNA (tRNA) molecules are approximately 80 nucleotides in length. Their secondary structure includes four short double-helical elements and three loops (D, anti-codon, and T loops). RNAcentral also lists the same sequence under 1 other name. Lineage: Eukaryota; Metazoa; Chordata; Mammalia; Artiodactyla; Camelidae. The record is from Rfam by way of RNAcentral.